Molecule: small RNA, 946 nt
Filed under: Pan troglodytes (chimpanzee)
Lineage: Eukaryota; Metazoa; Chordata; Mammalia; Primates; Hominidae
Description: processed transcript
Source: RNAcentral
GCCACAGCCCGCGCAGUUGCCGGGGAUCGUGCUGAGCCCCGCGAGCCGAGGCAGCGCAGCCUAGGGAGGGGGCUGCCCCGGCCCCCUCCUGCAGUCCCGGCCCCCAGAGGCUCGGCCUUCCUCGCAGGAAGGCGAAGUCCCCGGUGCCAGGUCCGGGGACCAGCAGCCGAGAACGCCCGGGUCCCGGAGCCAACAGGCUCCGAGUGCCCUCGCUCCCCUGCGCCUUCCCGGAGCCCCGCCAGCCCCCGAGGUGCAGGAAGGUCCCGCGGACGGAGCGGGCCUGCCGGCGUUCAGUGGGGUUCUUGGUGAAGCACUUGGCACGCAUCGGAGCUCAUUACUCCUCAUCGUGGUCCUGUAAGGCCGUGUCCGUGUCAGUGGCAGUGCUAACUCUCAGCUUCAUCGCCCUGGACCGCUGGUAUGCCAUCUGCCACCCACUAUUGUUCAAGAGCACAGCCCGGCGGGCCCGUGGCUCCAUCCUGGGCAUCUGGGCUGUGUCGCUGGCCAUCAUGGUGCCCCAGGCUGCAGUCAUGGAAUGCAGCAGUGUGCUGCCUGAGCUAGCCAACCGCACACGGCUCUUCUCAGUCUGUGAUGAACGCUGGGCAGAUGACCUCUAUCCCAAGAUCUACCACAGUUGCUUCUUUAUUGUCACCUACCUGGCCCCACUGGGCCUCAUGGCCAUGGCCUAUUUCCAGAUAUUCCGCAAGCUCUGGGGCCGCCAGAUCCCCGGCACCACCUCAGCACUGGUGCGGAACUGGAAGCGCCCCUCAGACCAGCUGGGGGACCUGGAGCAGGGCCUGAGUGGAGAGCCCCAGCCCCGGGCCCGCGCCUUCCUGGCUGAAGUGAAGCAGAUGCGUGCACGGAGGAAGACAGCCAAGAUGCUGAUGGUGGUGCUGCUGGUCUUCGCCCUCUGCUACCUGCCCAUCAGUGUCCUCAAUGUCCUUAAGAG